AAAAAGUUUUAGUUUAGUUUAGGUAAUUAGUCUAUAAAUUUAUUAUAUGUAAAUUUUUGUAAUUUAUUUUAAAUAAUAUAAUUUACAGUAGUAAAAAUUAAGUUUAUAAGAAAUUAUGAUUUAGAAAUUUAUGUAAGUAUUGACAAAAUUUGUGCCAGCAGUUGCGGUUAUACAAAUAAUGCAAUUAAUUAUUAUUAGUCAAUAAUAAGUUUUAAUAAAAAAUUAUAAAAUUAAAAUUUUUAGGUGAAAUUUAUAAAAAUUUAAUUUAAUUUUAAUAAAAUUUUAUGAUUUAUGAAAUUUAUAUUUAAACUAGGAUUAGAUACCCUAUUAUUAUAAAUGUAAAUUAAUUACUUAAUUAGUGUUAGUUAUGUUCUUUAAAGUUAAAAAUUUUGGCGGUAUUUUAGUCUAUUUAGAGGAACCUGUUCUGUAAUUGAUAGUCCACGAUUUAUUUAACUUAUUUUAAUUAAUUUGUAUAUCAUCGUAGUUGAAUAUUUUAUUAGAAUUUAAAUGUUCAGAACUUAUAAUUUUAAAAAAAAUCAGAUCAAGGUGCAGUUUAUAUUUAAGUAGAAAUGGGUUACAAUAAAAUUAUUUAUAUGGUUUAGUAAUUGAAAAUUAUUUAUUAAAGUGGAUUUAAAAGUAAUAAUAUUAAAUUAAAUUUUAUGAUUUGAGCUCUAAAGUAUGCACAUAUCGCCCGUCGCUCUUAUAUAAUAUAAGAUAAGUCGUAACAUAGUAGAUGUACUGGAAAGUGUAUCUAGUAAUCA
This 761-nucleotide non-coding RNA is filed under the name Lathrobium brunnipes. Lineage: Eukaryota; Metazoa; Arthropoda; Insecta; Coleoptera; Staphylinidae. The record is from RNAcentral.